This 468-nucleotide ribosomal RNA is filed under the name uncultured bacterium. Its description in RNAcentral is "partial 16S ribosomal RNA". It matches the Rfam family "Bacterial small subunit ribosomal RNA", at positions 28 to 507 of the family's 1533-position model. The record is from RNAcentral.
GAUGAACGCUGACAGAAUGCUUAACACAUGCCAGUCAACUUGAAUUUGGGUUUUUUAACUUAGAUUUGGGUGGCGGACGGGUGAGUAACGCGUAAAGAACUUGCCUCACAGCUAGGGACAACAUUUGGAAACGAAUGCUAAUACCUGAUAUUAUGAUUAUAAGGCAUCUUAGAAUUAUGAAAGCUAUAUGCGCUGUGAGAGAGCUUUGCGUCCCAUUAGCUAGUUGGAGAGGUAACGGCUCACCAAGGCGAUGAUGGGUAGCCGGCCUGAGAGGGUGAACGGCCACAAGGGGACUGAGACACGGCCCUUACUCCUACGGGAGGCAGCAGUGGGGAAUAUUGGACAAUGGACCAAGAGUCUGAUCCAGCAAUUCUGUGUGCACGAUGACGUUUUUCGGAAUGUAAAGUGCUUUCAGUUGGGAAGAAAAAAAUGACGGUACCAACAGAAGAAGUGACGGCUAAAUACGUG